Molecule: ribosomal RNA, 530 nt
Rfam family: 5.8S ribosomal RNA (bases 171-324)
GCUCUCACCCUUUGUGACAUACCUAACCGUUUGCUUCGGCGGGCAGGGGAAGCCUCUCGCGGGCUGACCCUCCCGGCGCCGGCCCCGUCACGGGGGCGGAGCGCCCGCCGGAGGAAACCAAACUCGUAUUUACACGACGUCUCUUCUGAGUGGCACAAGCAAAUAAUUAAAACUUUUAACAACGGAUCUCUUGGUUCUGGCAUCAAUGAAGAACGCAACGAAAUGCGAUAAGUAAUGUGAAUUGCAUAAUUCAGUGAAUCAUCCAAUCUUUGAACGCACAUUGCGCUCGCCAGCAUUCUGGCGAGCAUGCCUGUUCGAGCGUCAUUUCAACCCUCAAGCACCGCUUGGUUUUGGGGCCCUCACGGACCGACGUGGGCCCUUAAAGGUAGUGGCGGACCCUCCCGGAGCCUCCUUUGCGUAGUAACUAACGUCUCGCACUGGGAUCCGGAGGGACUCUUGCCGUUAAACCCCCAAAUUUUUUCAGGUUGACCUCGGAUCAGGUAGGACUACCCGCUGAACUUAAGCAUAUC